CUUAAGGACCAUAGAUCAAGAAUUGGUUUUGUUGGAACAAUACAGAGAAUAUUAGCAUAGCCCUUGUGCAAGUUGACAUGCAAAUUCAUGAAGUGUUCCAUAUUAAA
Small nuclear RNA from Lutra lutra (Eurasian river otter), 107 nucleotides. NCBI's taxonomy places the organism in Eukaryota, Metazoa, Chordata, Mammalia, Carnivora, Mustelidae. The record is from RefSeq and is a predicted model, not a curated record.